GCACUUUCUUACUCUCCCAUCUCUUUCCUUCUUUCUUCUUCAUUUUUCUCAAGCUCUGGCUAGCUUAAGCAUCGGAGGAUCCCUCGUAGGAGCAUCUUCGAUGAGUAUCGACUUUCGUUGCAGAUUCACAAAGUUAGAAAGUGUCCUCGGUCCAAGUCCGAGCUUCAUGUCGGUGGGUGACCAACAUCAAUCUGGAGACUUGUGGCAACAACAGCUAUAAUAUAGGGUAUUGCUCUCUCUCUCCACUUAGCAGAAGGAUAGCCCAAGGAGAUAGAUCCCUAUGAGUCCCC
This 290-nucleotide long non-coding RNA is filed under the name Elaeis guineensis (African oil palm). Its description in RNAcentral is "long non-coding RNA (EGUI_LNC033654)". The record is from RNAcentral. Lineage: Eukaryota; Viridiplantae; Streptophyta; Magnoliopsida; Arecales; Arecaceae.